GCGCACGUGGCGGAAUUGGUAGACGCGCAGGUCUCAGAAGCCUGUGCCUUCGGGUGUGGGAGUUCGACUCUCCCCGUGCGCA
This 82-nucleotide transfer RNA is filed under the name Pontibacter qinzhouensis. It matches the Rfam family "tRNA". From Rfam's summary of the family: Transfer RNA (tRNA) molecules are approximately 80 nucleotides in length. Their secondary structure includes four short double-helical elements and three loops (D, anti-codon, and T loops). RNAcentral also lists the same sequence under 1 other name. The record is from Rfam by way of RNAcentral. Lineage: Bacteria; Pseudomonadati; Bacteroidota; Cytophagia; Cytophagales; Hymenobacteraceae.